This 404-nucleotide ribosomal RNA is filed under the name uncultured bacterium. RNAcentral's name for it is "bacterial SSU rRNA". It matches the Rfam family "Bacterial small subunit ribosomal RNA", at positions 355 to 776 of the family's 1533-position model. The record is from RNAcentral.
UGGGGAAUAUUGCACAAUGGGGGAAACCCUGAUGCAGCGACGCCGCGUGAGUGAGGAAGUAUUUCGGUAUGUAAAGCUCUAUCAGCAGGGAAGAAAAUGACGGUACCUGACUAAGAAGCCCCGGCUAACUACGUGCCAGCAGCCGCGGUAAUACGUAGGGGGCAAGCGUUAUCCGGAUUUACUGGGUGUAAAGGGAGCGUAGACGGAAUUGCAAGUCUGAUGUGAAAAUCCGGGGCCCAACCCCGGAACUGCAUUGGAAACUGUAUUUCUAGAGUGUCGGAGAGGCAAGUGGAAUUCCUGGUGUAGCGGUGAAAUGCGUAGAUAUCAGGAGGAACACCAGUGGCGAAGGCGGCUUGCUGGACGAUGACUGACGUUGAGGCUCGAAAGCGUGGGGAGCAAACAGG